This 359-nucleotide RNase P RNA is filed under the name pig gut metagenome. RNAcentral describes it as "Bacterial RNase P class A". It matches the Rfam family "Bacterial RNase P class A". Rfam says of the family: Ribonuclease P (RNase P) is a ubiquitous endoribonuclease, found in archaea, bacteria and eukarya as well as chloroplasts and mitochondria. Its best characterised activity is the generation of mature 5'-ends of tRNAs by cleaving the 5'-leader elements of precursor-tRNAs. The record is from RNAcentral.
GGCGAUCGGAUAAUCGCUGCUCCCGCUGCGGGGUGGAGGAAAGUCCGGGCUUCCCAGGAACACGAUACCGGAUAACGUCCGGGCGGGGCAACCCAACGGAAAGUGUCGCAGAAAACAAACCACCGCGCCUUGUGCGUGGAACGGGUGAAAAGGCGGGGUAAAAGCCCACCGCACCGGUGGCAACACGGGUGGCAGGAUAAACCCUAUCGGAAGCAAGACUAAAAUACAGUGUCCGAAAGUUCCUUUCGUAAAAUAGGUGUUCCUGCCUAGACACAAUGAGGUAAGUCGCUAGAAGCGGUUUGUAAAAACCGUUCCAGACGAAUGAUUAUCAAGACAAAACCCGGCUUAUAGACCGCCUG